RNAcentral lists this transfer RNA (73 nucleotides) under Teichococcus wenyumeiae. RNAcentral's name for it is "Pseudoroseomonas wenyumeiae tRNA". It matches the Rfam family "tRNA". From Rfam's summary of the family: Transfer RNA (tRNA) molecules are approximately 80 nucleotides in length. Their secondary structure includes four short double-helical elements and three loops (D, anti-codon, and T loops). Further hydrogen bonds mediate the characteristic L-shaped molecular structure. tRNAs have two regions of fundamental functional importance: the anti-codon, which is responsible for specific mRNA codon recognition, and the 3' end, to which the tRNAs corresponding amino acid is attached (by aminoacyl-tRNA synthetases). tRNAs cope with the degeneracy of the genetic code in two manners: having more than one tRNA (with a specific anti-codon) for a particular amino acid; and 'wobble' base-pairing, i.e. permitting non-standard base-pairing at the 3rd anti-codon position. RNAcentral also lists the same sequence under 1 other name. Lineage: Bacteria; Pseudomonadati; Pseudomonadota; Alphaproteobacteria; Acetobacterales; Roseomonadaceae. The record is from Rfam by way of RNAcentral.
GUGCCCGUAGCUCAGCCGGUAGAGCACGUGACUUUUAAUCAUGGGGUCGUGGGUUCGAGUCCCACCGGGCACA